AACACAUCAAGCACUCUAAGAGCAGAGA
RNAcentral lists this non-coding RNA (28 nucleotides) under Cricetulus griseus (Chinese hamster). Lineage: Eukaryota; Metazoa; Chordata; Mammalia; Rodentia; Cricetidae. The record is from RNAcentral.